RNAcentral lists this ribosomal RNA (497 nucleotides) under uncultured bacterium. Its description in RNAcentral is "partial 16S ribosomal RNA". It matches the Rfam family "Bacterial small subunit ribosomal RNA", at positions 28 to 507 of the family's 1533-position model. The record is from RNAcentral.
GAUGAACGCUGGCGGCGUGCCUAAUACAUGCAAGUCGAGCGAACGGACGAGAAGCUUGCUUCUCUGAUGUUAGCGGCGGACGGGUGUGUAACACGUGGAUAACCUACCUAUAAGACUGGGAUAACUUCGGGAAACCGGAGCUAAUACCGGAUAAUAUUUUGAACCGCAUGGUUCAAAAGUGAAAGACGGUCUUGCUGUCACUUAUAGAUGGAUCCGCGCUGCAUUAGCUAGUUGGUAAGGUAACGGCUUACCAAGGCAACGAUGCAUAGCCGACCUGAGAGGGGGAUCGGCCACACUGGAACUGAGACACGGUCCAGACUCCUACGGGAGGCAGCAGUAGGGAAUCUUCCGCAAUGGGCGAAAGCCUGACGGAGCAACGCCGCGUGAGUGAUGAAGGUCUUCGGAUCGUAAAACUCUGUUAUUAGGGAAGAACAUAUGUGUAAGUAACUGUGCACAUCUUGACGGUACCUAAUCAGAAAGCCACGGCUAACUACGUG